This 497-nucleotide ribosomal RNA is filed under the name uncultured bacterium. Its description in RNAcentral is "bacterial SSU rRNA". It matches the Rfam family "Bacterial small subunit ribosomal RNA", at positions 22 to 515 of the family's 1533-position model. The record is from RNAcentral.
CUUCAGGAUGAACGCUAGCGGGAGCUUAACACAUGCAAGUCGAGGGGCAGCAUUAGUACUUGUACUAGAUGGCGACCGGCGCACGGGUGAGUAACGCGUAUGCAACCUGCCUUUUACAGGGGAAUAGCCCAGAGAAAUUUGGAUUAAUGCCCCAUGGUUCCAUAAUGCCCCAUGGUAUAAUGGAUAAAGCUUCGGCGGUAAAAGAUGGGCAUGCGUGACAUUAGCUUGUUGGUAAGGUAACUGCUUACCAAGGCUACGAUGUCUAGGGGUUCUGAGAGGAUUGUCCCCCACACUGGUACUGAGACACGGACCAGACUCCUACGGGAGGCAGCAGUGAGGAAUAUUGGUCAAUGGGCGCAAGCCUGAACCAGCCAUCCCGCGUGCAGGAAGACGGCCCUACGGGUUGUAAACUGCUUUUAUAUACCAAGAAACCCUUCUACGAGUAGAAGGCUGACGGUAGUAUAUGAAUAAGCAUCGGCUAACUCCGUGCCAGCAGG